Trichobilharzia regenti is the source of this 78-nucleotide non-coding RNA. NCBI's taxonomy places the organism in Eukaryota, Metazoa, Platyhelminthes, Trematoda, Strigeidida, Schistosomatidae. The record is from Rfam.
AGCCCUCUGUAUCCGUGCUGAGAUUUCGUCAGAAAUCAACCCGUUGGGGUUGAUGGUACUUCCCAAAUAAGUGAAGCG